RNAcentral lists this ribosomal RNA (375 nucleotides) under uncultured organism. RNAcentral describes it as "partial 16S ribosomal RNA". It matches the Rfam family "Bacterial small subunit ribosomal RNA", at positions 527 to 896 of the family's 1533-position model. The record is from RNAcentral.
GUAGGUGGCAAGCGUUGUCCGGAAUUAUUGGGCGUAAAGCGCGCGCAGGCGGUCCUUUAAGUCUGAUGUGAAAGCCCACGGCUCAACCGUGGAGGGUCAUUGGAAACUGGGGGACUUGAGUACAGAAGAGGAAAGCGGAAUUCCAAGUGUAGCGGUGAAAUGCGUAGAGAUUUGGAGGAACACCAGUGGCGAAGGCGGCUUUCUGGUCUGUAACUGACGCUGAGGCGCGAAAGCGUGGGGAGCAAACAGGAUUAGAUACCCUGGUAGUCCACGCCGUAAACGAUGAGUGCUAAGUGUUAGGGGGUUUCCCGCCCCCUUAGUGCUGCAGCUAACGCAUUAAGCACUCCGCCCCGGGGGAGUACGGCCGCAAGGCUG